This 376-nucleotide ribosomal RNA is filed under the name uncultured bacterium. Its description in RNAcentral is "bacterial SSU rRNA". It matches the Rfam family "Bacterial small subunit ribosomal RNA", at positions 30 to 416 of the family's 1533-position model. The record is from RNAcentral.
CCUGAACGCUGGCGGCGUGGCUAAGACAUGCAAGUCGUACGGUGUAGCAAUACACAGUGGCGAACGGGUGAGUAAUGAAUCGCUAAUGUGCCCCGGACUCUGGGAUAGCUGACCGAAAGGGCAGGUAAUACCAGAUGAGACCACGAACAGGCAUCUGUUUGUGCUCAAAGGUCCGCCGGUCUGGGAGCAGGCGAUUUCGUAUCAGCUAGUUGGAGGGUAACGGCCUACCAAGGCGACGACGCGUAGCCGGACUGAGAGGUUGACCGGCCACAUCGGGACUGAGACACUGCCCGGACUCCUACGGGGGGCUGCAGUAACGAAUCUUCCGCAAUGCACGAAAGUGUGACGGAGCGACGCCGCGUGUGGGACGAAGUCC